GACGAACGCUGGCGGCGUGCUUAACACAUGCAAGUCGAACGGAAAGGCCCUGCUUUUGUGGGGUGCUCGAGUGGCGAACGGGUGAGUAACACGUGAGUAACCUGCCCUUGACUUUGGGAUAACUUCAGGAAACUGGGGCUAAUACCGGAUAGGAGCUCCUGCUGCAUGGUGGGGGUUGGAAAGUUUCGGCGGUUGGGGAUGGACUCGCGGCUUAUCAGCUUGUUGGUGGGGUAGUGGCUUACCAAGGCUUUGACGGGUAGCCGGCCUGAGAGGGUGACGGCCCAAGUAGGAACUGAGGUCCGACCAGGUCUCCCGGGGGAGGGAGCGGGGGGAAAUAUUGCACAAUGGGCGGAAGCCUGACGGGGCGGCCCCGGGUGGGGAAUGGGGGCCUUGGGUGUAUAGCCCGCUAUCGGAUAUGAGGAACGGGGCGAAAGGGGGAUGGGGAAAGACACCCCGCAAAACUACGUC
This 468-nucleotide ribosomal RNA is filed under the name uncultured bacterium. Its description in RNAcentral is "partial 16S ribosomal RNA". It matches the Rfam family "Bacterial small subunit ribosomal RNA", at positions 28 to 507 of the family's 1533-position model. The record is from RNAcentral.